This 250-nucleotide ribosomal RNA is filed under the name uncultured prokaryote. RNAcentral's name for it is "partial 16S ribosomal RNA". It matches the Rfam family "Bacterial small subunit ribosomal RNA", at positions 524 to 773 of the family's 1533-position model. The record is from RNAcentral.
UACGGAGGAUGCGAGCGUUAUCCGGAUUUAUUGGGUUUAAAGGGUGCGCAGGCGGUCGAUUAAGUCAGCGGUGAAAUGUCCCGGCUCAACCGGGGAGCUGCCGUUGAUACUGGUUGGCUUGAGUGCGGACGGCGCCGGCGGAAUGAGUGGUGUAGCGGUGAAAUGCAUAGAUAUCACUCAGAACACCGAUCGCGAAGGCAGCUGGCGAGGCCGUCACUGACGCUGAGGCACGAAAGCGUGGGGAUCAAAC